RNAcentral lists this ribosomal RNA (465 nucleotides) under uncultured bacterium. RNAcentral's name for it is "partial 16S ribosomal RNA". It matches the Rfam family "Bacterial small subunit ribosomal RNA", at positions 338 to 795 of the family's 1533-position model. The record is from RNAcentral.
CCUACGGGAGGCAGCAGUGGGGAAUAUUGCGCAAUGGGCGAAAGCCUGACGCAGCGACGCCGCGUGAGGGAUGAAGGUCUUCGGAUCGUAAACCUCUGUCAGCAGGGAAGAACGGUCACUGUGCUAAUCAGCAGUGAAUUGACGGUACCUGCAAAGGAAGCACCGGCUAACUCCGUGCCAGCAGCCGCGGUAAUACGGAGGGUGCGAGCGUUAAUCGGAAUUACUGGGCGUAAAGCGCUCGUAGGCGGUAUGUCAAGUCAAGGGGGAAAUCCCCGCGCUCAACGUGGGAACUGCCUUUGAAACUGGCAAACUGGAGUGUGUGAGAGGAGAGUGGAAUUCCAGGUGUAGGAGUGAAAUCCGUAGAUAUCUGGAGGAACAUCAGUGGCGAAGGCGACUAUCUGGCACAUAACUGACGCUGAGGAGCGAAAGCGUGGGUAGCAAACAGGAUUAGAUACCCGGGUAGUC